RNAcentral lists this transfer RNA (75 nucleotides) under Chloroflexota bacterium. RNAcentral's name for it is "Chloroflexi bacterium (freshwater metagenome) tRNA-Asn". It matches the Rfam family "tRNA". Rfam says of the family: Transfer RNA (tRNA) molecules are approximately 80 nucleotides in length. The record is from RNAcentral. Lineage: Bacteria; Bacillati; Chloroflexota.
UCCCCGGUAGCUCAACGGUAGAGCGGGCGGCUGUUAACCGCUAGGUUGGGGGUUCGAGACCCUCCCGGGGAGCCA